Molecule: ribosomal RNA, 497 nt
Filed under: uncultured bacterium
Lineage: Bacteria
Description: partial 16S ribosomal RNA
Rfam family: Bacterial small subunit ribosomal RNA
Source: RNAcentral
GACGAACGCUGGCGGCGUGCCUAAUACAUGCAAGUUGAGCGCUGAAGGUUGGUCCUUGUACCAACUGGAUGAGCAGCGCACGGGUGAGUAACGCGUGGGGAAUCUGCCUUUGAGCGGGGGACAACAUUUGGAAACGAAUGCUAAUACCGCAUAAAAACUUUAAACACAAGUUUUAAGUUUGAAAGAUGCAAUUGCAUCACUCAAAGAUGAUCCCGCGUUGUAUUAGCUAGUUGGUGAGGUAAAGGCUCACCAAGGCGAUGAUACAUAGCCGACCUGAGAGGGUGAUCGGCCACAUUGGGACGGAGACACGGCCCAAACUCCUACGGGAGGCAGCAGUAGGGAAGCUUCGGCAAGGGACGAAAGUCUGACCGAGCAACGCCGCGUGAGUGAAGAAGGGUGUCGGAUCGUAAAAAUCUGUUGGUAGAGAAGAACGUUGGUGAGAGUGGAAAGCUCAUAAAGUGACGGUAACUACCCAGAAAGGGACGGCUAACUACGUG